RNAcentral lists this ribosomal RNA (467 nucleotides) under uncultured bacterium. Its description in RNAcentral is "partial 16S ribosomal RNA". It matches the Rfam family "Bacterial small subunit ribosomal RNA", at positions 28 to 507 of the family's 1533-position model. The record is from RNAcentral.
GAUGAACGCUGGCGGCGUGCUUAACACAUGCAAGUCGAACGGUGAAGCAGAGCUUGCUCUGUGGAUCAGUUGCGAACGGGUGAGUAACACGUGAGCAACCUGCCCCUGACUCUGGGAUAAGCGCUGGAAACGGCGUCUAAUACUGGAUAUGAGCUGCGACCGCAUGGUCAGCAGUUGGAAAGAUUUUUCGGUCUGGGAUGGGCUCACGGCCUAUCAGCUUGUUGGUGAGGUAAUGGCUCACCAAGGCGUCGACGGGUAGCCGGCCUGAGAGGGUGACCGGCCACACUGGGACUGAGACACGGCCCAGACUCCUACGGGAGGCAGCAGUGGGGAAUAUUGCACAAUGGGCGAAAGCCUGAUGCAGCAACGCCGCGUGAGGGAUGACGGCCUUCGGGUUGUAAACCUCUUUUAGCAGGGAAGAAGCGAAAGUGACGGUACCUGCAGAAAAAGCGCCGGCUAACUACGUG